RNAcentral lists this ribosomal RNA (497 nucleotides) under uncultured bacterium. Its description in RNAcentral is "partial 16S ribosomal RNA". It matches the Rfam family "Bacterial small subunit ribosomal RNA", at positions 28 to 507 of the family's 1533-position model. The record is from RNAcentral.
GAUGAACGCUGGCGGCGUGCCUAAUACAUGCAAGUCGAGCGAACGGACGAGAAGCUUGCUUCUCUGAUGUUAGCGGCGGACGGGUGAGUAACACGUGGAUAACCUACCUAUAAGACUGGGAUAACUUCGGGAAACCGGAGCUAAUACCGGAUGAUAUUUUGAACCGCAUGGUUCAAAAGUGAAAGACGGUCUUGCUGUCACUUAUAGAUGGAUCCGCGCUGCAUUAGCUAGUUGGUAAGGUAACGGCUUACCAAGGCAACGAUGCAUAGCCGACCUGAGAGGGUGAUCGGCCGCACGGGAAGUUGUACACGGUCCAGACUCCUACGGGAGGCAGCAGUAGGGAAUCUUGCGCAGUGGACGAAAGCCUGACGGAGCAACGCCGCGUGAGUGAGGGAGGUCUUCGGAUCGUAAAACUCUGUUAUUAGGGAAGAACAUAUGUGUAAGUAACUGUGCACAUCUUGACGGUGCCUAAUCAGAAAGCCACGGCUAACUACGUG